UACAGAGGUCUCAAGCGUUGUUCGGAUUCAUUGGGCGUAAAGGGUGCGUAGGCGGCGCGGUAAGUCGGGUGUGAAAUCUCGGAGCUUAACUCCGAAACUGCAUUCGAUACUGUCGUGCUUGAGGACUGGAGAGGAGACUGGAAUUUACGGUGUAGCGGUGAAAUGCGUAGAUAUCUGGAGGAAUACCGGUGGCGAAGGCGGCAUCCUGGACCGGCAUUGACGCUGAGGAGCGAAAGCCAGGGGAGCAAACGGG
This 253-nucleotide ribosomal RNA is filed under the name uncultured bacterium. Its description in RNAcentral is "partial 16S ribosomal RNA". It matches the Rfam family "Bacterial small subunit ribosomal RNA", at positions 524 to 776 of the family's 1533-position model. The record is from RNAcentral.